GGAGAAUGUGCCUGUGCUUUUUACGGCAGGAUUUGCUUUUGCAUCUAUUUAUAGCUCAAUAUUAAAAUAUCUGUAGUAGUAUUGUAGCUCAGACAUCAUUUUAACAUAUCAGGGUAGUCUUUCUGAGUGUGUUAAUUAGCUUUUCAUUUAAAGACCAUGUCUUCUAUGCUUGAGGAAGCCAAUCAGCUUUACUGUGGCUUGACAUAUUGUUUCUGAUUGGAGAACUCUGAUAUUCUGCAUUUUAGUGAUUUUUUAAAGGAAAAAUUCUUUAGAUUCUGAUUUGAAACAAACAAACACAAUAUUUAAUAUUGAAAUGCUUCUAUUGUGUUAAGAAACAAAUUAUUUGUAGUAUGAGAAAUAGCAACAAAAAUGGGAGUGGAAUGAAAUCAAUAGGCAAUUCUCUUAUGGGUUUACAGAAAGUAGCUAAACACUUCAAGCCCAUUUUCUGUUAUUCUAUCAGUCCUGAACAAUGUAUUUAAGUUUUAUCAUCAUUGGUUAUUUGAAUAGAAAUUACUAUUUUUAGAAAAAAACUAAUUAAAACACAUUAAUUCAUUAGCUCCCUUUUCAUUCUGCAUUUAAGCAUAACAUGAGUUAAUUUGAGCUAUAUCUUUUAGUAUCUCACAUUGAUUGGGCAUCCAUUAAAAAUGACAAAAUCAAUCACUUAGUGCAUGAGACUCAUAAGUAUGGAUUUCUCGCUAUGAUCCCCUUUCAUUGCUAAAGAAAAGAUUAUUUAAUUUUGAACCCACCAACCAAGUUCUCCAUAGUAUGACCUUAAAUUUUUUACUUUUACAGAUUAUAUUUCAGAAAACCUUAAGGGUUAUCUUCCUAUAAGGCCUAGUAUCACAUGGUAGCUUCAGAUGAUGGUAAUGGACUUGAAGCCUCAGGCCUUAAAGUUAGAUGAAUACCUUCUUUUAUUUAAAAAAAUUGCCAAGUGUCUGAUUCAGUUUUUCCAAUUGUCAAUGAAAAUAAACUAAAAUGAUUUUUUUAGAAAAGGUAA
Molecule: long non-coding RNA, 997 nt
Filed under: Bos taurus (domestic cattle)
Lineage: Eukaryota; Metazoa; Chordata; Mammalia; Artiodactyla; Bovidae
Description: long non-coding RNA NONBTAT017376
Source: RNAcentral